Molecule: ribosomal RNA, 490 nt
Filed under: uncultured bacterium
Lineage: Bacteria
Description: partial 16S ribosomal RNA
Rfam family: Bacterial small subunit ribosomal RNA
Source: RNAcentral
GAUGAACGCUAGCGAUAUGCUUAACACAUGCAAGUCGAGGGGCAGCAUGGUCUUAGCUUGCUAAGACUGAUGGCGACCGGCGCACGGGUGCGUAACGCGUAUGCAACUUGCCUCACAGAGGGGGAUAACCCGUCGAAAGACUGACUAAUACCGCGUACACUUGGGAUAGGGCAUCCUGACCCAAGGAAAUGAAAUUCGCUGUGAGAUAGGCAUGCGUCCCAUUAGCUAGUUGGUGAGGUAACGGCUCACCAAGGCGACGAUGGGUAGGGGAACUGAGAGGUUGAACCCCCACACUGGUACCGAGACACGGACCAGACUCGUACGGGAGGCAGCAGUGAGGAAUAUUGGUCAAUGGGCGAGAACCUGAACCAGCCAAGUCGCGUGAAGGAUGACUGUCUUAUGGAUUGUAAACUUCUUUUAUACGGGAAUAACAAGAGCCACGUGUGGCUCCCUGCAUGUACCGAAUGAAUAAGCAUCGGCUAACUCCGUG